RNAcentral lists this ribosomal RNA (460 nucleotides) under uncultured bacterium. RNAcentral's name for it is "partial 16S ribosomal RNA". It matches the Rfam family "Bacterial small subunit ribosomal RNA", at positions 338 to 795 of the family's 1533-position model. The record is from RNAcentral.
CCUACGGGAGGCAGCAGUGAGGAAUAUUGGUCAAUGGGCGCGAGCCUGAACCAGCCAAGUAGCGUGAAGGAUGACUGCCCUACGGGUUGUAAACUUCUUUUAUAAAGGAAUAAAGUGAGGCACGUGUGCCUUUUUGUAUGUACUUUAUGAAUAAGGAUCGGCUAACUCCGUGCCAGCAGCCGCGGUAAUACGGAGGAUCCGCGCGUUGUCCGGAAUUAUUGGGGGUAAAGGGAGCGUAGAUGGGUUGUUAAGGCAGUUGUGAAAGUUUGCGGCUCAACCGUAAGAUUGCAAUAGGUACUGGCGAGGUGGAGUACAGGAGAGGAAAGCGGAAUUCCUAGUGUAGCGGUGAAAUGCGUAGAUAUCAGGAAGAACACCGGUGGCGAAGGCGGCUUGCUAAACUGAAACUGACACUGAGGCUCGAAAGUGUGGGGAGCAAACAGGAUUAGAUACCCGUGUAGUC